This 253-nucleotide ribosomal RNA is filed under the name uncultured bacterium. RNAcentral's name for it is "partial 16S ribosomal RNA". It matches the Rfam family "Bacterial small subunit ribosomal RNA", at positions 524 to 776 of the family's 1533-position model. The record is from RNAcentral.
UACGUAGGUGGCAAGCGUUGUCCGGAUUUAUUGGGUUUAAAGGGUGCGUAGGCGGUUCUCUAAGUCAGUUGUGAAAUACUUCAGCUUAACUGGAGAGGUGCAAUUGAUACUGGAGAACUUGAGUACUGAUGAGGUAGGCGGAAUGGACGGUGUAGCGGUGAAAUGCUUAGAUAUCGUCCAGAACACCGGUGGCGAAGGCGGUUAGCUGGGCAGUUGCUGACACUGAGGCGCGACAGCGUGGGGAGCAAACAGG